GGGCGGUUUCAAUCUAGGAGGCUGGUCUAUUCUACUACACGGAUAACUGUAGUAAUUCUAGAGCUAAUACGUGCCUCGAUGCCCUGAUCCGCAAGGUGAGGGGUGCACUUAUUAGAUUACAGACCAAACGGCUCACGCCGUAGUUUGUGAUGACUCUGGAUAACUUUGUAUGAUCGCAGCUGGCCUUGUUGUCGGCGACGGAUCCAUCAAAUAUCUGCCCUAUCAACUUUCGAUGGUAGGAGACAUGCCUACCAUGGUUAUGACGGGUAACGGGGAAUCAGGGUUCGAUUCCGGAGAGGGAGCCUGAGAAACGGCUACCACAUCCAAGGAAGGCAGCAGGCGCGUAAAUUACCCACUCUCUGAACGAGGAGGUAGUGAAGAUAAAUAUCGAUACAGAACUCAAAUGAGGCUCUGUAAUCGAAAUGAGUGCAAUAUAAAUCCUACAACGAGGAUCUAUUGGAGGGCAAGUCUGGUGCCAGCAGCCGCGGUAACUCCAGCUCCAAUAGCGUAUAUUAAAGUUGUUGCAGUUAAAAAGCUCGUAGUUGGAUCUGGGCCAUGUAGUGACUGUCGGUUUCGCGUGAGCAUGCUUUGGUGUGUUCGCGUGGGCCGGUAUCUUCGCUCAUGGCUUCGCAGCUGUGUCCAUUUGUCUUCGGGCAUUUGGAUGCUACUGGGUGUUAGCCUUUGCCCCUUUAUGGGGGGGCGGGAGGCAGCUCAGUAUCAUGUUUCUGUUUGAUGCCCUUUAACCGGGUGUCCGGGAACUCUCAGCACGUUUUACUUGAACAAAUUUGAGUGCUCAAGCAAGCGCUUGUGCCCUGAAAAUUCUUGCAUUGAAUUAAUAGAAUAGACUUUAGGAUCCUAUUUGUUGCAUGGAAUAGAACCGGCAAGGUAAAAUGUGA
RNAcentral lists this ribosomal RNA (896 nucleotides) under Bifurcohaptor indicus. Its description in RNAcentral is "bacterial SSU rRNA". It matches the Rfam family "Eukaryotic small subunit ribosomal RNA", at positions 104 to 878 of the family's 1831-position model. The record is from RNAcentral. Lineage: Eukaryota; Metazoa; Platyhelminthes; Monogenea; Dactylogyridea; Ancylodiscoididae.